GACGAACGCUGGCGGCGUGCUUAACACAUGCAAGUCGAACGAAGAGCGAUGGAAGCUUGCUUCUAUCAAUCUUAGUGGCGAACGGGUGAGUAACGCGUAAUCAACCUGCCCUUCAGAGGGGGACAACAGUUGGAAACGACUGCUAAUACCGCAUACGAUCUAAUCUCGGCAUCGAGGAUAGAUGAAAGGUGGCCUCUACAUGUAAGCUAUCACUGAAGGAGGGGAUUGCGUCUGAUUAGCUAGUUGGAGGGGUAACGGCCCACCAAGGCGAUGAUCAGUAGCCGGUCUGAGAGGAUGAACGGCCACAUUGGGACUGAGACACGGCCCAGACUCCUACGGGAGGCAGCAGUGGGGAAUCUUCCGCAAUGGACGAAAGUCUGACGGAGCAACGCCGCGUGAGUGAUGACGGCCUUCAGGUUGUAAAGCUCUGUUAAUCGGGACGAAAGGCCUUCUUGCGAAUAGGGAGAAGGAUUGACGGUACCGGAAUAGAAAGCCACGGCUAACUACGUG
Molecule: ribosomal RNA, 510 nt
Filed under: uncultured bacterium
Lineage: Bacteria
Description: partial 16S ribosomal RNA
Rfam family: Bacterial small subunit ribosomal RNA
Source: RNAcentral